Molecule: ribosomal RNA, 449 nt
Filed under: uncultured bacterium
Lineage: Bacteria
Description: bacterial SSU rRNA
Rfam family: Bacterial small subunit ribosomal RNA
Source: RNAcentral
CUGGCGGUGUGCCUCACACAUGCAAGUCGAGCGGACGAAGAUUGAAGCUUGCUUCAGUCCUAGUUAGCGGCGGACGGGUGAGUAACACGUAGGAAUCUGCCUUCAGGCGGGGGACAACGGAACGAAAGUUGCGCUAAUACCCCCAUAUGCGAGUAAUCGUAAAAGGAGCAAUCCACCGGAAGAUGAGCCUGCGUCCGAUUAGCUAGUUGGUAGGGUAAAAGCCUACCAAGGCUACGAUCGGUAGUUGGUCUGAGAGGAUGAUCAGCCACAAUGGAACUGAGACACGGUCCAUACUCCUACGGGAGGCAGCAGUGGGGAAUUUUACGCAAUGGGCGAAAGCCUGACGUAGCGACACCGCGUGAGCGAAGAAGCCUUUGGGGUGUAAAGCUCUGUCAGCUGGAACGAACACAAUGACGGUACCAGCAGAGGAAGCAUCGGCUAACUACGUG